UGACCUCGAAGCAGGUAGGAAUACCCGCUGAACUUAA
RNAcentral lists this ribosomal RNA (37 nucleotides) under Fusarium solani. Its description in RNAcentral is "partial 28S ribosomal RNA". The record is from RNAcentral. Lineage: Eukaryota; Fungi; Ascomycota; Sordariomycetes; Hypocreales; Nectriaceae.